RNAcentral lists this ribosomal RNA (454 nucleotides) under uncultured bacterium. Its description in RNAcentral is "partial 16S ribosomal RNA". It matches the Rfam family "Bacterial small subunit ribosomal RNA", at positions 28 to 507 of the family's 1533-position model. The record is from RNAcentral.
GAUGAACGCUGACAGAAUGCUUAACACAUGCAAGUCAACUUGAACUUCGGUUUGGGUGGCGGACGGGUGAGUAACGCGUAAAGAACUUGCCUCACAGAUAGGGACAACAUUUGGAAACGAAUGCUAAUAGCAGAUAUUAUGAUAUAAGGGCAACCAAGGAUUAUGAAAUCUAUAUGCGCUGUGAGAGAGCUUUGCGUCCCAUUAGCUAGUUGGAGAGGUAACGGCUCACCAGGGCGAUGAUGGGUAGCCGGCCUGAGAGGUUAAUCGGCCACAAGGGGACGGAGAAACGGCCCUUACCCCUCCGGGAGGAAGCGGUGGGAAAUAUUGGAAAAUGGACCAAGAGUCUUGUCGAGCAGUUCUGUGUGCACGAUGAAGUUUUUCGGAAUAUAAAGUUUUUUCAGUUGGGGAGAAAAAAAUGACGGUACCAGCAGAAAAAGUAACGGCUAAAUACGUG